UAACGGUAGGAUUUUGUUGACAAAAAGCCCUUAGUUAUCAUAAAAUAAGGGCUCCGAGCGAUUUGCUCGAAUUAGAUAUCACUUGGCGGCUACCCUAGAGUUGCUAUGAUCUUUGGGUCCCUCGUAAUGGGCACCUACGAAUCGUGUCAGGGCAGGAAUGCAGCAGCACUAAGUAGGACCGUUCAUCUGACGAGGGGUUACCUGGAGGGAGUUUCUUUAGGGUGGCUACCAAAUGGUAUCUGGUUCGGCAGCUCGGUA
RNAcentral lists this unclassified non-coding RNA (258 nucleotides) under Pseudobutyrivibrio sp. AR14. Its description in RNAcentral is "Bacterial large signal recognition particle RNA". The stretch from base 54 to 256 matches the Rfam family "Bacterial large signal recognition particle RNA". Rfam says of the family: The signal recognition particle (SRP) is a universally conserved ribonucleoprotein involved in the co-translational targeting of proteins to membranes. Archaeal SRP consists of a 7S RNA and homologues of the eukaryotic SRP19 and SRP54 proteins. In most bacteria, the SRP consists of a 4.5S RNA and the Ffh protein (a homologue of the eukaryotic SRP54 protein). RNAcentral also lists the same sequence under 1 other name. Lineage: Bacteria; Bacillati; Bacillota; Clostridia; Lachnospirales; Lachnospiraceae. The record is from RNAcentral.